UCACAAAUUUUAUUAACACACUACAUCAUCAGCAUGGAAUCAUGUCCUCCGGAAUGGUGGCUGAAGCAUGAAGGGGCAUAUGAAUGUUUAGCUUUGUUAACUUUAUUUUCUUUUAACACUGUCCAUUAGUGGCCUACCAAGUACCGGCUCUCUGUAUAAUACUGCGCCACGACUGAUUAGUCAAAGGCAUUUAUAAGGAUAAAUGUCAGAGACUUCAGUGCACUAUUUACAUCAGGUCUAGUCAUUGGUGCAUCUGGAUCAAGGCCAACUUUCCUGAAAAUCAACUGCAGAACUCAGUUGUAAUAACUGCCAUCGUUGUUGACUAAUGAAGCCAAAGAGGGAGCCAGCACAAGGGUCAAUGAUCUGGGAAGUGGAAGAAAUUCUGAAAUGGAGUACUCCAUACAGUUUUUUCAACAGUCCUACCAACCAGAGCAGCAGGCCCAGACGGUGUGGCAGGCAGACCAACAGAAUGUUCUCCAGGACUUUAUCAAGGAACAGAUGGCCAUACAGCAUGGGAUACUGCAGAAUCUGGAUCCAAGAGAGCUGUCAUUGACCGGAGAAAACUAUGAAGAGAAUCAUUUAAAUGUUUUUCCAUUUAAAAAAAAAAUUCCAGAAUUUUAUUUAAUCUGAAAUAUCAGCAAGAUUUAAAUGUAAGACUUUUGUGUCAAAAUAUGUACCUUUCAUUCACUGUCAUAGGUUUGCACUACAAUAAAUACAGUAACUCCUCACUUAACAUCGUCCCGAUUAACGCUGUUUUGUUGUUACAUUGCUGAUCUAUUACAGAACAUGCUCAUUUAAAGUUGCACAAUGCUCCCUUAUAACGUCCUUUAGAAGCUGCCUGCUAUGUCCACUGCCUGCAGGAAGAGCAGCCCUUUGGAGCUAGCUGGUGGGGGCUUGGAACCAGAGUGGGCUGGCAGCCCCCCUAUCAGCUCCCUGUG
Long non-coding RNA from Mauremys mutica (yellowpond turtle), 938 nucleotides. RefSeq lists it as uncharacterized. The record is from RefSeq and is a predicted model, not a curated record. The transcript is spliced from 5 exons. NCBI's taxonomy places the organism in Eukaryota, Metazoa, Chordata, Testudines, Geoemydidae.